This 1895-nucleotide long non-coding RNA is filed under the name Olea europaea (common olive). RNAcentral describes it as "long non-coding RNA (OEUR_LNC009283)". The record is from RNAcentral. Lineage: Eukaryota; Viridiplantae; Streptophyta; Magnoliopsida; Lamiales; Oleaceae.
UUUGAGAGAACAAUCAAUUGUGCAUUGUUGUACAGAGAGGAGUAUUUGUAUGUAUAGGUAGUGAUGAUGCCAAAAAUCAUACUUAGCAUAUCACGAACUUGUUGCUUGAAUACCGAGCCUGAGGAUUGAGUAAGAGCACGAGCAAAAGCUUCCGGUACCUGAAACAAAGGCAACAAUGUGUGUUCUCGUCGUCCCUCUAAUGUUUAAGUCAGACAGGGAAUUGUGCAAAAAUAUAUGCUGUAAUUGUAUUGUAAAAACAUACCUGAAUAAUGGAGCUGAAUCCUGUAUUUAUAGACGUUGGUGGUUGAGUUCUAAGAGGAUUCAACCACCUAUGAUCCCUAUCUUGUAUAGUGUUUGAGUUAUAUCACAAUUAUCACUUUGAGUUUGGCAUGAAUUGUAAUACGUUUAGUAUUUGGAUGAGUACGACCGGUUGAGUCAUAGGAGGACUAAAACUCGUAAGAUGCUUGAGACAAGGGCAUGAGAAAUAAUAUUUUCAUUAUGUGGGCUCGACCUUAAUAAGGUUCGACUAUUAGGCCCGACCUCUAAGAGGCUUGACCACAUUUUAGAGGAUUUUUGGAGACGAGAGUGCGUGGGGGUAUUAACCUCGGGCCAUGCUCGAAAGUUUGGGGUCGGGUUGUAAUUUUUGUGCAUAUCAUAGGCCCCUGUGCAUCCAUGUCAGGAGCUCGUACGCAAUGUGGGAGUUUUUGGCAUGAGAUGCAUAAGUAUAUUAAGUUCAAAAAUAGGCAUGCUCAUGUCAAGUCGAUAGGCCCCCGAGCACACGGAUCUAGGAUAGCAAGUAUUGACUAUUUUAAAAGUUUGAAAGGAAUAAGCUUGAUCUCAAGGCUCGUUAGAAAUUUUUCAGAGAACUGAGCUCGACUUCGACCUUGUAAGAGAAUUUGGCAUGAAUGAGCUCAACCUCGAGCUUUAUCAGUACUUGAAGUUGAAGAGCUUGACCUCGAGCUUUGUUAAAAGACUUGAAGUGAAAAAGCUUGAUCUCGAGCAUUGUCAAAAACUUGAAGUGAAAAAAGCUUGAUCUUGAGCUUUGUCAAAAACUCAAGAUUUGCCAAAGAUUUGAAAUGAAAGAACUCGACCUCGAGCUUUCAAAAUUUGAAGUGAAAGAGCUUAACUUGGAGUUUGUCAAAACUUUUAAAGUAAGGGCUGAGCCCCCACUUUUGUUUAAAAAUUGGAAGGAAUGAGCUUUAGCUCGAUCUUUAUUAAAGGUUUUGAAAUGAAGGAGCUUAACGAAUAGGUAAAGAACCAUAUAAGAGACUAAGCUCAAGCAUAAGGUCGAUCCUAUUCUAAGUAUAAUCAUCCCAAGCUCUUUGUCUUGGAUUUUGACAAUGUAUUGAGCUCGAGGAUAGGCCCCCGAGCUCUGAGGCUAGUUAUGCUCAAUAAGCUUGAGAUGAAAAAAUGUGGUCGGGAUUUUUACUUGAAGCUGAAAUUUUGCGAUGUAUGAAUAGGGCGACGUUUAGAAUGCUUGCACAGGGCAAGACUCAUGUUCUUGCUCGGGGCAAGACUUUAUGCUAGACUAGCUGCAUGCGCGAGGCAUGACCUUACGCUAGGCGUUAGAGAUAAUUUAGUUGCAUGCUCGGGGCACUUCCUUACGCUAGAUGUAAGAGAUGAUGUAGCUGCAUGCUCGAGGCAUGACCUUACGCUAGAUGUAAGAUUGAUUUAGUUGCAUGCUCGAGGCACGGCCUUACGUUAAAUGUAAGAGAUGAUUUAACUGCAUGCUCGGGGCACGGCCUUACACUAAAUGUAAGAUAUAGUUUAGCUGCAUGCUCGUAGGGGCAUUGCCUUACGCUAAAUGUAAGAUAUAAUUUAGCUGCAUGCUCGGGGCACGGCCUUACGCUAAAUGUAAGAGAUGAUUUAGCUGUAUGCUCGAGGCACGGCCUUAC